RNAcentral lists this ribosomal RNA (606 nucleotides) under Nocardia carnea. Its description in RNAcentral is "bacterial SSU rRNA". It matches the Rfam family "Bacterial small subunit ribosomal RNA", at positions 46 to 669 of the family's 1533-position model. Lineage: Bacteria; Bacillati; Actinomycetota; Actinomycetes; Mycobacteriales; Nocardiaceae. The record is from RNAcentral.
GCUUAACACAUGCAAGUCGAGCGGUAAGGCCCUUCGGGGUACACGAGCGGCGAACGGGUGAGUAACACGUGGGUGAUCUGCCUUGCACUCUGGGAUAAGCCUGGGAAACUGGGUCUAAUACCGGAUAUGACCUGCAGUUGCAUGACUGUGGGUGGAAAGAUUUAUCGGUGCGAGAUGAGCCCGCGGCCUAUCAGCUUGUUGGUGGGGUAAUGGCCUACCAAGGCGACGACGGGUAGCCGGCCUGAGAGGGCGACCGGCCACACUGGGACUGAGACACGGCCCAGACUCCUACGGGAGGCAGCAGUGGGGAAUAUUGCACAAUGGGCGGAAGCCUGAUGCAGCGACGCCGCGUGAGGGAUGACGGCCUUCGGGUUGUAAACCUCUUUCGACUCCGACGAAGCGAAAGUGACGGUAGGAGUAUAAGAAGCACCGGCCAACUACGUGCCAGCAGCCGCGGUAAUACGUAGGGUGCGAGCGUUGUCCGGAAUUACUGGGCGUAAAGAGCUUGUAGGCGGCUUGUCGCGUCGAUCGUGAAAACUCGGGGCUCAACCCCGAGCUUGCGGUCGAUACGGGCAGGCUUGAGUACUUCAGGGGAGACUGGAAUUC